RNAcentral lists this ribosomal RNA (435 nucleotides) under uncultured bacterium. RNAcentral describes it as "bacterial SSU rRNA". It matches the Rfam family "Bacterial small subunit ribosomal RNA", at positions 958 to 1392 of the family's 1533-position model. The record is from RNAcentral.
AACGCGAAGAACCUUACCUAAGCUUGACAUCCCACUGACCUCUCCCUAAUCGGAGAUUUCCCUUCGGGGACAGUGGUGACAGGUGGUGCAUGGUUGUCGUCAGCUCGUGUCGUGAGAUGUUGGGUUAAGUCCCGCAACGAGCGCAACCCUUGUCUUUAGUUGCCAUCAUUAAGUUGGGCACUCUAGAGAGACUGCCGAGGAUAACUCGGAGGAAGGUGGGGAUGACGUCAAAUCAUCAUGCCCCUUAUGCUUAGGGCUACACACGUGCUACAAUGGGUGGUACAGAGGGCAGCCAAGUCGUGAGGCGGAGCUAAUCCCUUAAAGCCAUUCUCAGUUCGGAUUGUAGGCUGAAACUCGCCUACAUGAAGCUGGAGUUACUAGUAAUCGCAGAUCAGAAUGCUGCGGUGAAUGCGUUCCCGGGUCUUGUACACACCG